Molecule: ribosomal RNA, 450 nt
Filed under: uncultured Entrophospora
Lineage: Eukaryota; Fungi; Glomeromycota; Glomeromycetes; Entrophosporales; Entrophosporaceae
Description: SSU rRNA
Rfam family: Eukaryotic small subunit ribosomal RNA
Source: RNAcentral
AGCAGCCGCGGUAAUUCCAGCUCCAAUAGCGUAUAUUAAAGUUGUUGCAGUUAAAAAGCUCGUAGUUGAAUUUCGGGAUUGACGUGAUGGUCAUGCCUUAAGGGGUAUGAACUGUUGCAGUUGAUUUCUCACCUUCUGGAAAAACUUGAUGUCCUUUAUUGGGUGUCUUGCGGAUCCAGGACCUUUACCUUGAAAAAUUAGAGUGUUUAAAGCAGGCAUUUUUGCUCGAAUACAUUAGCAUGGAAUAAUAGAAUAGGACGGCAUGGUUCUAUUUUGUUGGUUUCUAGGAUCACCGUAAUGAUUAAUAGGGAUAGUUGGGGGCAUUAGUAUUCAAUUGUCAGAGGUGAAAUUCUUGGAUUUAUUGAAGACUAACUACUGCGAAAGCAUUUGCCAAGGAUGUUUUCAUUAAUCAAGAACGAAAGUUAGGGGAUCGAAGACGAUCAGAUACCG